AACGAACGCUGGCGGCAUGCCUAACACAUGCAAGUCGAACGAGACCUUCGGGUCUAGUGGCGCACGGGUGCGUAACGCGUGGGAAUCUGCCCUUAGGUACGGAAUAACUCAGGGAAACUUGAGCUAAUACCGCAUAAUGACUCCGGUCCAAAGAUUUAUCGCCUAGGGAUGAGCCCGCGUAGGAUUAGCUAGUUGGUGAGGUAAAAGCUCACCAAGGCGACGAUCCUUAGCGGUCUGAGAGGAUGAUCAGCCAGACUGGGACUGCGAGACGGCCCAGACUCCUACGGGAGGCAGCAGUUA
This 300-nucleotide ribosomal RNA is filed under the name uncultured bacterium. RNAcentral describes it as "bacterial SSU rRNA". It matches the Rfam family "Bacterial small subunit ribosomal RNA", at positions 29 to 357 of the family's 1533-position model. The record is from RNAcentral.